CAAGCGAUGUGGAGGCAAACCCCUAAAAAUAGGUCUCAGUUCAGAUUGCAGGCUGCAACCCGCCUGCAUGAAGUCGGAAUUGCUAGUAAUCGCGGAUCAGCAUGCCGCGGUGAAUACGUUCCCGGGCCUUGUACACACCGCCCGUCACACCAUGGGAGCCGGUAAUACCCGAAGUCAGUAGUCCAACCUCGUGAGGACGCUGCCGAAGGUAGGAUUGGCGACUGGGGUGAAGUCGUAACAAGGUAAC
Molecule: ribosomal RNA, 247 nt
Filed under: uncultured bacterium
Lineage: Bacteria
Description: partial 16S ribosomal RNA
Rfam family: Bacterial small subunit ribosomal RNA
Source: RNAcentral